UAGAUUUCCCUCCUCUUGACCUUACAGAAAUGUAGUGAAGAUUCUCUUAAAAAGAGUCUUUAUGAAGCAAGUCCUAUCUGGAGUCAUCACCAAGUUUCAUGUGGGAAUGGGAAAAUAACUCUCCAAAGGCCUCUGUCAAAUAAAAAUGUUUAACUCUGAACCCUGCUUCCCAAAGGACAUGCAGAAGGCUAUGGAUGAGACAAUGGAAGUCUUAAUACAACUACAGACAUACAAAAAGCUGAAGAAACACCACCAACACACAAUGAGGAAAGACUUACUUGAGAGAUUUAGUGGUCGGACCUAUUAUGAGAAAUGUUUAUCGUGUUCCCAGAAAAACUGCAGUAAUAUCAGUGGCUCUGGGAAGGAAGCACUUCUAGGAUUGUUGCCUGACUGACUCCACAUCUAGUCCUCCAUCUAUUGACUUGUGUGCUGCUUACCAUGGAGCAUUGGUAUGAGACUCAAAGUAUGUCCAUAAAUGAUGUUGCAAACCUGA
This 493-nucleotide long non-coding RNA is filed under the name Phascolarctos cinereus (koala). RNAcentral's name for it is "lncRNA (ENSPCIG00000026572.2)". The record is from RNAcentral. Lineage: Eukaryota; Metazoa; Chordata; Mammalia; Diprotodontia; Phascolarctidae.